This 205-nucleotide ribosomal RNA is filed under the name uncultured bacterium. RNAcentral's name for it is "partial 16S ribosomal RNA". It matches the Rfam family "Bacterial small subunit ribosomal RNA", at positions 568 to 773 of the family's 1533-position model. The record is from RNAcentral.
AGCGCAGGUGGGAAUGUAAGUCAGUCUUAAAAGUGCGGGGCUCAACCCCGUGAGGGGAUUGAAACCACAUUUCUUGAGUGCAGGAGAGGAAAGUGGAAUUCCUAGUGUAGCGGUGAAAUGCGUAGAGAUUAGGAGGAACACCAGUGGCGAAGGCGACUUUCUGGACUGUAACUGACACUGAGGCUCGAAAGCCAGGGGAGCAACG